Molecule: ribosomal RNA, 466 nt
Filed under: uncultured bacterium
Lineage: Bacteria
Description: partial 16S ribosomal RNA
Rfam family: Bacterial small subunit ribosomal RNA
Source: RNAcentral
GAUGAACGCUGGCGGCGUGCUUAACACAUGCAAGUCGAACGGAAAGGCCCAAGCUUGCUUGGGUACUCGAGUGGCGAACGGGUGAGUAACACGUGGGUGAUCUGCCCUGCACUUCGGGAUAAGCCUGGGAAACUGGGUCUAAUACCGGAUAGGACCACAUUUUGGAUGGUGUGGUGGAAAGUUUUUCGGUGUGGGAUGAGCUCGCGGCCUAUCAGCUUUUUGGUGGGGUAAUGGCCUACCAAGGCGUCGGCGGGUAGACGGCCUGAGAGGGUGUACGGCCACAUUGGGACUGAGAUGCGGCCCAGACUCCGACGGGAGGCAGCAGUGGGGAAUAUUGCACAAUGGGCGCAAGCCUGAUGCAGCGAGGCCGCGUGGGGGAUGACGGCCUUCGGGUUGUAAACUCCUUUCGCUAGGGACGAAGCGUUAUGUGACGGUACCUGGAGAAGAAGCACCGGCUAACUACGUG